CCUACGGGAGGCAGCAGUGGGGAAUAUUGCACAAUGGGGGAUACCCUGAUGCAGCGACGCCGCGUGAAGGAAGAAGUCUUUAGGUAUGUAAACUUCUAUCAGCAGGGAAGAAAAUGACGGUACCUGACUUGCAAUCCCCGGCUAACUAGGUUCCAGCCGCCGCGGUACUACGUAGGGGGCAAGCGUUAUCCGGAUUUACUGGGUGUAAAGGGAGCGUAGGCGGUGCAUAAAGUCAGAAGUGAAAGCCCGGGGCUCAAAUCUGGAACUGCUUUUGAAACUGUUGAACUAGAUUUCAGUAGAGGUAAGUGGAAUUCCUGGUGUAGCGGUGAAAUGCGUAGAUAUUAGGAGGAACACCAGUGGCGAAGGCGGCUUACUGGACUGUAAAUGACGCUGAGGCUCGAAAGUGUGGGGAUCAAACAGGAUUAGAUACCCUAGUAGUC
RNAcentral lists this ribosomal RNA (440 nucleotides) under uncultured bacterium. Its description in RNAcentral is "partial 16S ribosomal RNA". It matches the Rfam family "Bacterial small subunit ribosomal RNA", at positions 338 to 795 of the family's 1533-position model. The record is from RNAcentral.